CCUACGGGGGGCUGCAGUGGGGAAUUUUGGACAAUGGGCGCAAGCCUGAUCCAGCCAUGCCGCGUGCGGGAAGAAGGCCUUCGGGUUGUAAACCGCUUUUGUCAGGGAAGAAAUCCUCUGGGCUAAUACCUCGGGGGGAUGACGGUACCUGAAGAAUAAGCACCGGCUAACUACGUGCCAGCAGCCGCGGUAAUACGUAGGGUGCGAGCGUUAAUCAGAGUUACUGGGCGUAGAGCUGUAACAGGCAGGUGAAAUCCCCGGGCUCAACCUGGGAACUGCCUUUGUGACGGCAAGGCUUGAGUGCGGCAGAGGGGGAUGGAAUUCCGCGUGUAGCAGUGAAAUGCGUAGAUAUGCGGAGGAACACCGAUGGCGAAGGCAAUCCCCUGGGCCUGCACUGACGCUCAUGCACGAAAGCGUGGGGAGCAAACAGGAUUAGAUACCCUUGUAGUC
RNAcentral lists this ribosomal RNA (450 nucleotides) under uncultured bacterium. RNAcentral describes it as "partial 16S ribosomal RNA". It matches the Rfam family "Bacterial small subunit ribosomal RNA", at positions 338 to 795 of the family's 1533-position model. The record is from RNAcentral.